GGACCUGACUGCUAUCGGAUUGAUACUAAGCCAUGCGAGUCAUUGUAGCAAUACAAGGCAGACGGCUCAGUAACGCGUAGUCAACCUACCCUAUGGACGGGAAUAACCUCGGGAAACUGAGUAUAAUGCCCGAUAGAACAUUAUACCUGGAAUGGUUUAUGUUCCAAAUGAUUUAUCGCCGUAGGAUGGGACUGCGGCCUAUCAGUUUGUUGGUGAGGUAAUGGCCCACCAAGACUAUUACAGGUACGGGCUCUGAGAGGAGUGGCCCGGAGAUGGGUACUGAGACACGGACCCAGGCCCUAUGGGGCGCAGCAGGCGAGAAAACUUUGCAAUGUGCGAAAGCACGACAAGGUUAAUCCGAGUGGUUUCUGCUAAAGGAACCUUUUGUCAGUCCUAGAAACACUGAUGAAUAAGGGGUGGGCAAGUUCUGGUGUG
RNAcentral lists this ribosomal RNA (435 nucleotides) under uncultured archaeon. Its description in RNAcentral is "bacterial SSU rRNA". It matches the Rfam family "Archaeal small subunit ribosomal RNA", at positions 19 to 459 of the family's 1478-position model. The record is from RNAcentral.